AGCAGCCGCGGUAAUUCCAGCUCCAAUAGCGUAUAUUAAAGUUGUUGCAGUUAAAAAGCUCGUAGUUGAAUUUCGGGACCAUCAUGUCGGUCGUGCCUCGGUACGUACUGGCAUUGUUGGUUUCUACCUUCUGACGAACCAUGAUGUCAUUUAUUUGGUGUCGUGGGAAAUCAGGACUGUUACUUUGAAAAAAUUAGAGUGUUUAAAGCAGGCUCACGCUUGAAUACAUUAGCAUGGAAUAAUGAAAUAGGACGUUUGAUUCUAUUUUGUUGGUUUCUAGGAUCGACGUAAUGAUUAAUAGGGAUAGUUGGGGGCAUUAGUAUUCAAUUGUCAGAGGUGAAAUUCUUGGAUUUAUUGAAGACUAACUACUGCGAAAGCAUUUGCCAAGGAUGUUUUCAUUAAUCAAGAACGAAAGUUAGGGGAUCGAAGACGAUCAGAUACCGUCGUAGUCUUAACCAUAAACUAUGCCGACUAGGGAUCGGAUGAUGUUAAUUUUUUAAUGACUCA
This 507-nucleotide ribosomal RNA is filed under the name uncultured Glomus. Its description in RNAcentral is "SSU rRNA". It matches the Rfam family "Eukaryotic small subunit ribosomal RNA", at positions 569 to 1078 of the family's 1831-position model. The record is from RNAcentral. Lineage: Eukaryota; Fungi; Glomeromycota; Glomeromycetes; Glomerales; Glomeraceae.